CAGGUCAGGCGGGGCUACCCGCUGAGUUUAAGCAUAUCAAUAAGCCGGAGGAA
RNAcentral lists this ribosomal RNA (53 nucleotides) under Senna auriculata. RNAcentral describes it as "partial 28S ribosomal RNA". The record is from RNAcentral. Lineage: Eukaryota; Viridiplantae; Streptophyta; Magnoliopsida; Fabales; Fabaceae.